AGGGCACCACCAGGAGUGGAGCCUGUGGCUUAAUUUGACUCAACACGGGGAAACUCACCAGGCCCGGACACCAGAAGGAUUGACAGAUUGAUAGCUCUUUCUUGAUUUGGUGGUUGGUGGUGCAUGGCCGUUCUUAGUUGGUGGAGUGAUCUGUCUGGUUAAUUCCGAUAACGAACGAGACUCUGUCCUGCUAAAUAGAUCCAGCCUUUCUUUUGGGUCGGACUCGCUUCUUAGAGGGACUGGCGAUGACUAGUCGCACGAGAUUGAGCAAUAACAGGUCUGUGAUGCCCUUAGAUGUUCUGGGCCGCACACGCGCUGCACUGAAUUGAUCAGCUAGUUUUUCCCUUUCCGAGAGGAACGGGUAAACUGUUGAACCCAAUUCGUGGUAGGGAUUAGAGCUUGCAAUUGUUCUCUAUGAACCAGGAAUUCCCAGUAAGCGCGAGUCAUCAGCUCGCGUUGAUUACGUCCCUGUCCUUUGUACACACCGCCCGUCGCUACUACCGAUUGAAUGUUUUAGUG
Molecule: ribosomal RNA, 519 nt
Filed under: uncultured eukaryote
Lineage: Eukaryota
Description: SSU rRNA
Rfam family: Eukaryotic small subunit ribosomal RNA
Source: RNAcentral